AAGUUUCAGAAAAAGUUUAUAUUCCAACUUGCUGAAAUGAAAAAAAAUUUUAGUAGAUAGAACUGCACUGUUCUCUAAUAAUCCAGAAGAAGGUUUUAAACAACGUAAAAGUUCAGAUAAACUUAAUGUUUUGAAAAAAAAUAAUUCGCAAAUGGAGAUAUCCAAUACAUCACUAUUGUAUACACGAGUUUCAUCUUUAAAGUUUAUAAAACAGUUAUCAUUAAUUGGCGAUAAAAAUCUAGCUGAUACAAUU
Molecule: non-coding RNA, 253 nt
Organism: Hydra vulgaris (swiftwater hydra)
Lineage: Eukaryota; Metazoa; Cnidaria; Hydrozoa; Anthoathecata; Hydridae
Source: RefSeq, a predicted model, not a curated record